Molecule: ribosomal RNA, 468 nt
Filed under: uncultured bacterium
Lineage: Bacteria
Description: partial 16S ribosomal RNA
Rfam family: Bacterial small subunit ribosomal RNA
Source: RNAcentral
GACGAACGCUGGCGGCGUGCUUAACACAUGCAAGUCGAACGGAAAGGCCCUGCUUUUGUGGGUUGCUCGAUUGGCGAACGGGUGAGUAACACGUGAGUAACCUGCCCUUGACUUUGGGAUAACUUCAGGAAACUGGGGCUAAUACCGGAUAUGAGCUCCUGCUGCAUGUUGUGGGUUGGAAAGUUUCGGCGGUUGGGGAUGGACUCGCGGCUUAUCAGCUUGUUGGUGGGGUAGUGGUUUACCAAGGCUUUGACGGGUAGCCGGCCUGAGAGGGUGAACGGCCACAUGGGGACUGAGAUACGGCGCAGACGCCUACGGGAGGCAGCAGGGGGGAAUAUUGCAGAAUGGGCGGAAGCCUGAUGCAGCAACGCCGCGUGCGGGAUGACGGCCUUCGGGGUGUAAACCGCUUUCGACUGUGACGAAGCGUGAGUGACGGUAAUGGGUAAAGAAGCACCGGCUAACUACGUG